This 474-nucleotide ribosomal RNA is filed under the name uncultured organism. Its description in RNAcentral is "partial 16S ribosomal RNA". It matches the Rfam family "Bacterial small subunit ribosomal RNA", at positions 332 to 797 of the family's 1533-position model. The record is from RNAcentral.
UACACUCCUACGGGAGGCAGCAGUGGGGAAUUUUGGACAAUGGGCGAAAGCCUGAUCCAGCAAUGCCGCGUGUGUGAAGAAGGCCUUCGGGUUGUAAAGCACUUUUGUCCGGAAAGAAAUCCUUGGCUCUAAUACAGUCGAGGGAUGACGGUACCGGAAGAAUAAGCACCGGCUAACUACGUGCCAGCAGCCGCGGUAAUACGUAGGGUGCGAGCGUUAAUCGGAAUUACUGGGCGUAAAGCGUGCGCAGGCGGUUUGCUAAGACCGAUGUGAAAUCCCCGGGCUCAACCUGGGAACUGCAUUGGUGACUGGCAGGCUAGAGUAUGGCAGAGGGGGGUAGAAUUCCACGUGUAGCAGUGAAAUGCGUAGAGAUGUGGAGGAAUACCGAUGGCGAAGGCAGCCCCCUGGGCCAAUACUGACGCUCAUGCACGAAAGCGUGGGGAGCAAACAGGAUUAGAUACCCGGGUAGUCCCA